Maylandia zebra (zebra mbuna) is the source of this 638-nucleotide long non-coding RNA. RefSeq lists it as uncharacterized. The record is from RefSeq and is a predicted model, not a curated record. Lineage: Eukaryota; Metazoa; Chordata; Actinopteri; Cichliformes; Cichlidae.
CAGUGCCUUAUAACAGCUGUAGUAAGUAACAGCACCCACACGUCAGUAUUUACAGAACAUAAUCUAACUAAAUAGUCAAAUAUUUAAAUAUAUAUCAUUUUAUAGGUAUAAAAGAGCGAACUAAACCAUUUCCGUACACAACCCCAUACUCCUGAGUUGGUACAGCCCACCUUCCCGCCUCUAGCUCCGUGCCUAAGCGGUUGGAUUGCAGGAUUUUGGGGUCUGGGUGUAGAUGCGAUACAGUUGGUACAGUGUGAAGAAAUUAAGGCACGCUAUGGAAAAACUGGACGAAAUAACAAUUGCCAACCUGAAAGAAGCAAAUGUUGGAGAAGACCUGCUCUCAUCACUUUCACGAGAUGACAUCAAAGAUCUGUUUCCUGGUCCUGAACAUUGCCUCAGGCGUCGGGCUCUAUGGCUUGCAGUGCACAAAUGUGAAGAAUGGAACAUGCAGCAGCUGUGUUCAGAGCCCUUCCCAUGCUUUUCCCUUCCAGCACAGUACCACCUAAGAAGCUGGGCAUCUGUAGUGAGGCUUUUUUCCAUGUCCUAAAGGUAAGGCUGCAAUAUUCUAUGUGUAUAUAUUGUUGAAUUUUGCAGUUACUCAUGUUUUCAUUUUAUAUAUUUUACUGUGGAGUCAGUCA